CUCUUUUCCAUCUUUACACGUUAUCAGCACGCUCGUACCCGCGAGCGAUUUGGCCACAAGGAACGAGAAGAAAGCGAUGGGAGGCGGCGUAACAGCGGCGAGGCGCCAAGGCUCUUCUCCCGCAUCUGGAGGCAAAACGGCCGGCGCGCGACGCUCGCCCAGCGAAGGAGUCCUCAUAUUGCAUCCGCGGCACACCACAUACGGAGCGCCCGCCGGCCCUCGGCGCCAUUGUUGCGCCCGGCGGGGCCACCUUCACGCGCGGCGCACGCGUCCGCGCUACCCGUCGGUGUCAAGCGACGAACAGCACAAGCCACUCUGGCGACCUUCAAUAAGGGCCGCCAUACACAUCGCUGGCCUCGAGAAAGAGAAAUCGGUGUCAAACAAGGUGAUUCAGUUUGAUUUUAUUCCUGCACAAAACAAUUGCUUUACCAGGAACACGAAGAACCGAGAAGAAAAGGAGUCAAGCACAGGAAAGAAUCCAAUCCACAUCCCAGACUACUUCUCGGAGGAGAUCAAAUAUAAGCGAUCUAAAUAGAAGAGAAACAGAUAUGAACACCGUCAGUGGGGGCGACUGCCACCGCGUACGACGGAGGCGACACCCAGACCCAGUGCGCCCGGCGCAUCCCGGAGGCGCCCUCCAUCGGCCUGAAUCGGCGCAACAGCGAUGCGCGAGUCAGCCGACCAUCGGCCUCGGGACGGGGCUCCCCUCCAGUACCGGCCAUCGGCUUCGACGCGGGUCCUCAGGCCUGCCGGCGGCCCUCGGCUUCGUGGCGGCCUCCCAUGUCUCCUCUCCACAAAAUCAGUGGGGGCGGCCGACGGAAGUGGUGGCCAACGGCCACGCCCACUCACGGUGCAACGGCCGGCGAAGACAUCUGCGGCCAACGGCCGUCCCAUGGCGUGCAGACGCUCCGGAAGCCAUGGCUAUUCCUGUGUUCAGCCAGAUCAAUUCGUGGAUGUGCGGAGUGUGAACAGAGAACCUUAUCUCUUUGGUCAUUUCACGACUUAGCACUCAUAGUUUCUUUAAAUGCCAAAUAAGUCCAUUGGUCUUAAUGCUACUGCUUGCGUACAAGCCCUGGCUCAUUGUAAGUGCGUCCAUACUAUGCAUAGUGUUUUGAAACAUGCAUUUUGCGUGUAAUACCACCCUAGUACUACUAGUGUGCAAGUGUUCGUA
Molecule: ribosomal RNA, 1171 nt
Filed under: Triticum aestivum (bread wheat)
Lineage: Eukaryota; Viridiplantae; Streptophyta; Magnoliopsida; Poales; Poaceae
Description: partial small subunit ribosomal RNA
Source: RNAcentral